GUUUGUAUAAAAAAUAUCCCACAUUCAUUUUCGAUCCCUGGAAUCGUAACGAGAUGAUGCCCAAAUCAAGGUUGGUCAGACGAUAUGAUAGGAGGCGUCGCCUACGGUCAUUGUUAUAAGUGACUCGCCUAAUGAGUUUGUUGCUUCAGCGACAAACAAAUGGAUUUCUCUAUCGGACGACGAGGUCACGUCUCCUGUCAUGAAAGCUCCGGCAGCCCGGAAACUGGUUUUCAAUGAUGAUGCCGAGUCGAGCACUGCGCCUCUAAAGCUAACAAUCCCUCACCUUUACUAUGUGUGGCCGCCGAUCGAGCGCCGCCUAGCCGUCCCACCAGCAAAUGCAUUUCCAGGCAGAUACAAAGCAAAAAAGAUGGCAAAGAUAAAGGCAUUGACCAUAGCUCGUGUGCAUCUUCUAGCCCGCAUAAUAAAGACUCCUACCAUGAAGAAUGAUCGUUGCAAGUUGUCGGUGAAUACUCCAUCUCAUUUUGUUGUUUUGUGUUUGCAACUGGACGGUCUUAUUAAGCA
This 522-nucleotide long non-coding RNA is filed under the name Salvia miltiorrhiza (redroot sage). RNAcentral's name for it is "long non-coding RNA (SMIL_LNC004013)". Lineage: Eukaryota; Viridiplantae; Streptophyta; Magnoliopsida; Lamiales; Lamiaceae. The record is from RNAcentral.